GACGAACGCUGGCGGCGUGCCUAAUACAUGCAAGUUGAGCGCUGAAGGUUGGUACUUGUACCAACUGGAUGAGCAGCGAACGGGUGAGUAACGCGUGGGGAAUCUGCCUUUGGGCGGGGGACAACAUUUGGAAACGAAUGCUAAUACCGCAUAAAAACUUUAAACACAAGUUUUAAGUUUGAAAGAUGCAAUUGCAUCACUCAAAGAUGAUCCCGCGUUGUAUUAGCUAGUUGGUGAGGUAAAGGCUCACCAAGGCGAUGAUACAUAACCGACCUGAGAGGGUGAUCGGCCACAUUGGGACUGAGACACGGCCCAAACUCCUACGGGAGGCAGCAGUAGGGAAUCUUCGGCAAUGGACGAAAGUCUGACCGAGCAACGCCGCGUGAGUGAAGAAGGUUUUCGGAUCGUAAAACUCUGUUGGUAGAGAAGAACGUUGGUGAGAGUGGAAAGCUCAUCAAGUGACGGUAACUACCCAGAAAGGGACGGCUAACUACGUG
RNAcentral lists this ribosomal RNA (497 nucleotides) under uncultured bacterium. RNAcentral describes it as "partial 16S ribosomal RNA". It matches the Rfam family "Bacterial small subunit ribosomal RNA", at positions 28 to 507 of the family's 1533-position model. The record is from RNAcentral.